Molecule: unclassified non-coding RNA, 152 nt
Filed under: uncultured fungus
Lineage: Eukaryota; Fungi
Description: sequence contains ITS1, 5.8S rRNA gene
Source: RNAcentral
CCGAGUGAGGGCCUCUGGCCCGACCUCCAACCCUUUGUUAUUAAAACCACUGUUGCCUCGGGGGCGCCCUACAGCCUACUGGCGUCGGGGCCCCCGGCGGACCAUUUAUAAACUCUGCAUCUUUGCGUCGGGUUUAAAAGUUUAAUUGAUUA